GAUGAACGCUGGCGGCGUGCCUAAUACAUGCAAGUAGAACGCUGAAGGAGGAGCUUGCUCUUCUGGAAGAGUUGCGAACGGGUGAGUAACGCGUAGGUAACCUGCCUCUUAGCGGGGGAUAACUAUUGGAGACGAUAGCUAAUACCGCAUAAAAGUCGACAUUGCAUGAUGUUGACUUGAAAGGUGCAACUGCAUCACUAAGAGAUGGACCUGCGUUGUAUUAGCUAGUUGGUGAGGUAACGGCUCACCAAGGCGACGAUACAUAGCCGACCUGAGAGGGUGAUCGGCCACACUGGGACUGAGACACGGCCCAGACUCCUACGGGAGGCAGCAGUAGGGAAUCUUCGGCAAUGGGGGCAACCCUGACCGAGCAACGCCGCGUGAGUGAAGAAGGUUUUCGGAUCGUAAAGCUCUGUUGUAAGAGAAGAACGAGUGUGAGAGUGGAAAGUUCACGCUGUGACGGUAUCUUACCAGAAAGGGACGGCUAACUACGUGCCAGCAGCCGCGGUAAUACGUAGGUCCCGAGCGUUAUCCGGAUUUAUUGGGCGUAAAGCGAGCGCAGGCGGUUAGAUAAGUCUGAAGUUAAAGGCUGUGGCUUAACCAUAGUACGCUUUGGAAACUGUUUAACUUGAGUGCAGAAGGGGAGAGUGGAAUUCCAUGUGUAGCGGUGAAAUGCGUAGAUAUAUGGAGGAACACCGGUGGCGAAAGCGGCUCUCUGGUCUGUAACUGACGCUGAGGCUCGAAAGCGUGGGGAGCAAACAGG
RNAcentral lists this ribosomal RNA (763 nucleotides) under uncultured Streptococcus sp. Its description in RNAcentral is "bacterial SSU rRNA". It matches the Rfam family "Bacterial small subunit ribosomal RNA", at positions 28 to 776 of the family's 1533-position model. Lineage: Bacteria; Bacillati; Bacillota; Bacilli; Lactobacillales; Streptococcaceae. The record is from RNAcentral.